CCGGGAGGGGUGUAUUUAUUAGAUAAAAAACCAAUGCCCUCCGGGGCUCCCUGGUGAUUCAUGAUAACUCAACGAAUCGCAUGGCCUUGCGCCGGCGAUGGUUCAUUCAAAUUUCUGCCCUAUCAACUUUCGAUGGUAGGAUAGUGGCCUACCAUGGUCGUAACGGGUAACGGGGAAUUAGGGUUCGAUUCCGGAGAGGGAGCCUGAGAAACGGCUACCACAUCCAAGGAAGGCAGCAGGCGCGCAAAUUACCCAAUCCCGACGCGGGGAGGUAGUGACAAUAAAUACUGAUACGGGGCUCUUUCGGGUCUCGUAAUUGGAAUGAGUACAAUCUAAAUCCCUUAACGAGGAACAAUUGGAGGGCAAGUCUGGUGCCAGCAGCCGCGGUAAUUCCAGCUCCAAUAGCGUAUAUUAAAGUUGUUGCGGUUAAAAAGCUCGUAGUUGAACCUUGGGCCUGGCCGAUCUGUCCUCCUCAUCGAGCGCACGGAUUCGGUCGGGCCUUUCCUUCUGGGGAGCCCCAUGCCCUUCGUUGGGCGUGGCGGGGAACCAGGACUUUUACCUUGAAAAAAUUAGAGUGUUCAAAGCAGGCCUUUGCUCGGAUACAUUAGCAUGGAAUAAUAGAAUAGGACAUCGGUUCUAUUUUGUUGGUUUCUAGGACCGCUGUAAUGAUUAAUAGGGAUGGUCGGGGGCGUCAGUAUUCAAUUGUCAGAGGUGAAAUUCUUGGAUUUAUUGAAGACUAACUACUGCGAAAGCAUUCGCCAAGGAUGUUUUCAUUAAUCAGUGAACGAAAGUUAGGGGAUCGAAGACGAUUUGUAUCCGGUCGUCCAGAGUGGGAACUAGUCUAGAUUGAACAAUCUGGGUGACACCAUUCAAUUGAAGAACUCCCGGCGCUCUGAUAAAGAGCCCGGGUGAUCUACAGCCACGUCCGGUUGGGGCCACGCUCAAUGUGUCGUGUUGACGGCGCUGAAGUCNUGCGAUGUCGAGUGUUUCAACCACCAGACCCAGUCUACAGACUGAACGAUGGUGGGUUGGCAAGAUGGAUGCUCAUCUUCAGCUUUUGAUAUAGUCGAGUCCGGUAUGGCAACAUGCCUGGGGAAAACGCAGAUACCGUCGUAGUCUU
This 1120-nucleotide ribosomal RNA is filed under the name Muellerella ventosicola. RNAcentral's name for it is "SSU rRNA". The stretch from base 1 to 902 matches the Rfam family "Eukaryotic small subunit ribosomal RNA", at positions 187 to 1831 of the family's 1831-position model. The record is from RNAcentral. Lineage: Eukaryota; Fungi; Ascomycota; Eurotiomycetes; Verrucariales; Verrucariaceae.